AUAAUUGUGGUGGUCUUCGUGUCACCUGCCCUGAUUCUGAGCCCCCGGAUUUUGGGGCUCACAACAGACGGUUUGAUCCAUCUGAAAAAUGUUUCGGGGAAGCUCAGCUUCAUUCAGAGGGAAUGCGACUUACGUGCGGGACAGGGAGCUGGCCUCGAAGGUUCCAACCGAGACAAAGUUCGAACUGUUCGAUCCAAGGAACACUUUACGCACCACCAAAUUCAACUAUACCUGGGACUUUGGCAACGGGGAGGUGCUGUAUGUGCACCAUAAAUACUUGUCCUCUGGAAACUACACUCUGCGGCUGAGAGUGGGGGCCCAAGUGAACAAAAGCUGUACUCCACUAACUGGGGUUUACACCAUGGACAUUACAGUGUUGGGUAGGUUGGCAGAAUACACAUCAUUUUUGUUAAGAAUGAUUUCGUUUGAAAUUGUAUUGCAUAUCUCUGCUAUUUUCCCGACCCCAUCAGAAAUAUUAAGUCGAAAGGCCCUUUGAGUUUCCAGGUUUCCAGAAACAACCGUCUGGCUAUUCAUGUCGAUGGAAGGUGGAUACAAUUUCUCAGUAGAAUUAACACCCAUACAGCACCAUAAACAUGCAUAACACAUCAAAGAAUCAACUAAUUUAUUCUCUCUUCCUCUCUUUGCUUCCCAGUCCUCCAAUGUGGGUGUGCUAUAUUCAUUCUCAUUAGCUCUCUCUCUCUUUCUUUCUCUCUCUCUCUCUCUCUCUCUCUCUCAUUCAGACUGAACCACACCUUCACGGCUUUAGGAGUCCACUGUCUUGACAUCAGUGCCUGCAAUGACAUCAGCAAACUACAGACCUCCUAGGCUGAAGCUACAGUACAGUACACACUCUCUCCUCUCACUAUGAAUACAGUAUAGACUAGUUUGAUAUAGUACAAAUGAUCCAUCUAUUAGUAUAGUGUCAAGAGGUUUUGAUCCGAAUUUACCUCUUUAGAUUUUAUGGUUCUCCUUGUAAUCUUAAAGGGAUACUAUGGGG
Molecule: non-coding RNA, 997 nt
Organism: Oncorhynchus mykiss (rainbow trout)
Lineage: Eukaryota; Metazoa; Chordata; Actinopteri; Salmoniformes; Salmonidae
Source: RefSeq, a predicted model, not a curated record